This 158-nucleotide unclassified non-coding RNA is filed under the name uncultured Helotiales. Its description in RNAcentral is "sequence contains ITS1". Lineage: Eukaryota; Fungi; Ascomycota; Leotiomycetes; Helotiales. The record is from RNAcentral.
CAGAGAUCAUGCCCGUAAAGGGUAGACCUCCCACCCUGUGUUAUUUACGAUUGUUGCUUUGGCAGGUCGCCUUCGGGCACUCGGCUUUGGCUGAGGUGCCCCUGCCAGAGGACCCUAAACUCUGUGCUUGGUGUUGUCUGAGUACUAUAUAAUAGUUA